Molecule: ribosomal RNA, 1218 nt
Filed under: Tyrannochthonius japonicus
Lineage: Eukaryota; Metazoa; Arthropoda; Arachnida; Pseudoscorpiones; Chthoniidae
Description: SSU rRNA
Rfam family: Eukaryotic small subunit ribosomal RNA
Source: RNAcentral
UUACCCACUCCCGGCACGGGGAGGUAGUGACGAAAAAUAACAAUACGGGACUCUAUCGAGUUCCCGUAAUUGGAAUGAGUACACUCUAAACCUUUUAACAAGGAUCAAUUGGAGGGCAAGUCUAGUGCCAGCAGCCGCGGUAAUUCUAGCUCCAAUAGCGUAUAUUAAAGUUGUUGCGGUUAAAAAGCUCGUAGUUGGAUCUCAGUCGCGCCCCUUCGAUCCGCCUCAGGCGGUAUUCGUUGGGGCCGGCAUACGGCUGGUCGUCCCUGCUGGCCUUCAACGGCUGGUCGGGUUGUCCGGCGAUUUUACUUUGAAAAAAUUAGAGUGCUCAAAGCAGGCUGACGCCUGAAUAAUGGUGCAUGGAAUAAUGGAAUAGGACCUCGGUUCUAUUUUGUUGGUUUUCGGAACACGAGGUAAUGAUUAAGAGGGACAGACGGGGGCAUUUGUAUUGCGACGCUAGAGGUGAAAUUCUUGGACCGUCGCAAGACAAACUACUGCGAAAGCAUUUGCCAAGAAUGUUUUCAUUAAUCAAGAACGAAAGUUAGAGGUUCGAAGGCGAUCAGAUACCGCCCUAGUUCUAACCAUAAACGAUGCCAACUAGCAAUCCGCCUGAGUUCCUCAUACGACUCGGCGGGCAGCUUCCGGGAAACCAAAGUUUUUGGGUUCCGGGGGAAGUAUGGUUGCAAAGCUGAAACUUAAAGGAAUUGACGGAAGGGCACCACCAGGAGUGGAGCCUGCGGCUUAAUUUGACUCAACACGGGUAAACUUACCCGGCCCGGACACCGGAAGGAUUGACAGAUUAAGAGCUCUUUCUUGAUUCGGUGGGUGGUGGUGCAUGGCCGUUCUUAGUUGGUGGAGUGAUUUGUCUGGUUAAUUCCGAUAACGAACGAGACUCUGGCCUAUUAAAUAGACGUUCCAUUUUUUGUGGAACGCUCUUCUUAGAGGGACAGGCGGCUUUUAGCCGCACGAGAUAGAGCAAUAACAGGUCUGUGAUGCCCUUAGAUGUCCGGGGCCGCACGCGCGCUACAAUGAAGGAUUCAGCAUGUUUUUCCCUAAUCCGAAAGGACGGGGUAAUCAUGUGAAACUCCUUCGUGCUUGGGAUAGGGGUUUGUAAUUAUUCCCCUUGAACGAGGAAUUCCCAGUAAGCGCGAGUCAUCAACUCGCGUUGAUUACGUCCCUGCCCUUUGUACACACCGCCCGUCGCUACUACCGAUUGAG